RNAcentral lists this ribosomal RNA (172 nucleotides) under Blautia wexlerae. Its description in RNAcentral is "partial 16S ribosomal RNA". It matches the Rfam family "Bacterial small subunit ribosomal RNA", at positions 1371 to 1533 of the family's 1533-position model. The record is from RNAcentral. Lineage: Bacteria; Bacillati; Bacillota; Clostridia; Lachnospirales; Lachnospiraceae.
UUCCCGGGUCUUGUACACACCGCCCGUCACACCACGAGAGUUUACAACACCCGAAGUCAGUGGCCUAACCGCAAGGAGGGAGCUGCCUAAGGUGGGGUAGAUGAUUGGGGUGAAGUCGUAACAAGGUAUCCCUACCGGAAGGUGGGGAUGGAUCACCUCCUUUCUAUGGAGA